RNAcentral lists this ribosomal RNA (480 nucleotides) under uncultured bacterium. RNAcentral's name for it is "partial 16S ribosomal RNA". It matches the Rfam family "Bacterial small subunit ribosomal RNA", at positions 28 to 523 of the family's 1533-position model. The record is from RNAcentral.
GACGAACGCUGGCGGCGUGCUUAACACAUGCAAGUCGAGCGGAAAGGCCCUUUCGGGGAUACUCGAGCGGCGAACGGGUGAGUAACACGUGAGUAAUCUGCCCCUGGCUUUGGGAUAGCCACCGGAAACGGUGAUUAAUACCGGAUACGACCACUUCUCGCAUGGGAUGGUGGUGGAAAGUUUUUCGGCCAGGGAUGUGCUCGCGGCCUAUCAGCUUGAUGGUGAGGUAAUGGCUCACCAUGGCUUCGACGGGUAGCCGGCCUGAGAGGGUGACCGGUCACACUGGGACUGAGACACGGCACAGACUCCUACGGGAGGCAGCAGUGGGGAAUAUUGGACAAUGGGCGGAAGCCUGAUCCAGCAACGCCGCGUGAGGGAUGACGGCCUUCGGGUUGUAAACCUCUUUCAGCAGGGACGAAGCGCAAGUGACGGUACCUGCAGAAGAAGCAUCGGCCAACUACGUGCCAGCAGCCGCAGUAA